UAUGAAGAACGUAGCGAAAUGCGAUAAGUAAUGUGAAUUGCAGAAUUCAGUGAAUCAUCGAAUCUUUGAACGCACAUUGCGCCCUCUGGUAUUCCGGGGGGCAUGCCUGUUCGAGCGUCAUUACAACCCUCAAGCUUUGCUUGGUAUUGGACAUUGCCAGUUUCUGGCAGGUCUUAAAAUCAGUGGCGGUGCCAUUUGGCUUCAAGCGUAGUAAUUCUUCUCGCUUUGGAGAUCCAAGUGGUUACUUGCCAAUAACCCCCAAUUUUUUCAGGUUGACCUCGGAUCAGGUAGGGAUACCCGCUGAACUUAAGCAUAUCAAUAAGCGGAGGA
Molecule: unclassified non-coding RNA, 330 nt
Filed under: soil metagenome
Description: partial contains 5.8S ribosomal RNA, internal transcribed spacer 2, and large subunit ribosomal RNA
Rfam family: 5.8S ribosomal RNA (bases 2-120)
Source: RNAcentral